CAAAGAUUUAUCGGUAUGGGAUGGACUCGCGUCUGAUUAGUUAGUUGGUAAGGUAACGGCUUACCAAGGCGACGAUCAGUAGCCGACCUGAGAGGGUGAUCGGCCACACUGGGACUGAGACACGGUCCAGACUCCUACGGGAGGCAGCAGUGGGGAAUAUUGCACAAUGGGCGCAAGCCUGAUGCAGCAACGCCGCGUGAACGAAGAAGGCUUUCGGGUCGUAAAGUUCUUUUCUUAGGGAAGAAAAAUGACGGUACCUAAGGAAUAAGCACCGGCUAACUACGUGCCAGCAGCCGCGGUAAUACGUAGGGUGCAAGCGUUAUCCGGAAUCACUGGGCGUAAAGGGUGCGUAGGCGGCCUUGCAAGUCAGAAGUGAAAAGGCUACGGCUCAACCGUAGUAAGCUUUUGAAACUGCAAAGGCUAGAGUGAAGGAGAGGAAAGUGGAAUUCCUAGUGUAGAGGUGAAAUUCGUAAAAUAUUAGGAGGAAC
Molecule: ribosomal RNA, 488 nt
Filed under: uncultured bacterium
Lineage: Bacteria
Description: bacterial SSU rRNA
Rfam family: Bacterial small subunit ribosomal RNA
Source: RNAcentral